CACCUCUCCGGGUCGCACCUGGAGAGGUUCCAGUACUCUACCAGUCUCUACUAUGGGAGGGAGAGUCAAGCAGAGGCGUAUCCAUUCCAUCCUAGCUUGGGCAGUGGCUAGUGAGUGGAAGGCCAUCGGCUACAAGU
Molecule: small nucleolar RNA, 137 nt
Filed under: Ornithorhynchus anatinus (platypus)
Lineage: Eukaryota; Metazoa; Chordata; Mammalia; Monotremata; Ornithorhynchidae
Source: RNAcentral